GACGAACGCUGGCGGCGUGCCUAAUACAGGCAAGUUGAGCGCUGAAGGUUGGUACUUGUACCAACUGGAUGAGCAGCGAACGGGUGAGUAACGCGUGGGGAAUCUGCCUUUGAGCGGGGGACAACAUUUGGAAACGAAUGCUAAUACCGCAUAAAAACUUUAAACACAAGUUUUAAGUUUGAAAGAUGCAAUUGCAUCACUCAAAGAUGAUCCCGCGUUGUAUUAGCUAGUUGGUGAGGUAAAGGCUCACCAAGGCGAUGAUACAUAGCCGACCUGAGAGGGUGAUCGGCCACAUUGGGACUGAGACACGGCCCAAACUCCUACGGGAGGCAGCAGUAGGGAAUCUUCGGCAAUGGACGAAAGUCUGACCGAGCAACGCCGCGUGAGUGAAGAAGGUUUUCGGAUCGUAAAACUCUGUUGGUAGAGAAGAACGUUGGUGAGAGUGGAAAGCUCAUCAAGUGACGGUAACUACCCAGAAAGGGACGGCUAACUACGUG
RNAcentral lists this ribosomal RNA (497 nucleotides) under uncultured bacterium. Its description in RNAcentral is "partial 16S ribosomal RNA". It matches the Rfam family "Bacterial small subunit ribosomal RNA", at positions 28 to 507 of the family's 1533-position model. The record is from RNAcentral.